AACUUGCUGAGGACUGAUAAAAUGAACAUGCGUGUCUAUCGUACCAGCUGUUGCGAUCAAACCUUCACCUGCAUACACUUCGGUACCAACGCCAAUAAUCAUAUCCUGAUCUACACCGUCCAUCGUAAGCGGAUUUCCCGCUUUUCCGACUCCAAUGAUGCGGCCAUCUUUAAUACCGAUAUCAGCUUUCACAAUACCUGUAUAGUCGAUAAUCAUAACGUUCGUAAUAACUGUAUCGAGGACACCUUCAGCU
RNAcentral lists this small RNA (253 nucleotides) under uncultured Sporosarcina sp. RNAcentral's name for it is "5' ureB small RNA". It matches the Rfam family "5' ureB small RNA", at positions 11 to 259 of the family's 292-position model. The record is from RNAcentral. Lineage: Bacteria; Bacillati; Bacillota; Bacilli; Caryophanales; Caryophanaceae.